This 468-nucleotide ribosomal RNA is filed under the name uncultured bacterium. Its description in RNAcentral is "partial 16S ribosomal RNA". It matches the Rfam family "Bacterial small subunit ribosomal RNA", at positions 28 to 507 of the family's 1533-position model. The record is from RNAcentral.
GAUGAACGCUGGCGGCGUGCUUAACACAUGCAAGUCGAACGGAAAGGCCCAAGCUUGCUUGGGUACUCGAGUGGCGAACGGGUGAGUAACACGUGGGUGAUCUGCCCUGCACUUCGGGAUAAGCCUGGGAAACUGGGUCUAAUACCGGAUAGGACGAUGGUUUGGAUGCCAUGGUGGAGAGUUUUUUCGUUGUGGGAUGAGUUAGGGGCUUGUCAGCUUGUUGGUGGGGGAUUGGCCAAACAAGGCGUCGGCGGGUGGCCGGCAGGUGAGGGGGGAGGGCCACAUGGGAACUGGGAAACGGGCCAGAGUCCUGAGGCAGGCAGGAGGGGGGAAUAUGGAACAAUGGGCGAAAGGCUGAUGCAGGGACGAGCAGUGGGGGGUGAGGGCUUUAGGGUUGUAAGUUGCUAUCGCUAGGGACGAGGCGUGUUUGUGACGGUACCUGGAGAAGAAGCACCGGCUAACUACGUG